AUAUGAAUGCUUCAAGCAAGAGCGUGCUGUUAACUAUUUGUCAAUUACACUUUUGCUGACCUUCAGUAUUAUCGUUAGCGUGGUUUACCUGAUAUGGAAGGAGCCUGUGUUUCAUCAGGUCAUGUACGCCGCGCUUGUG
Carassius carassius (crucian carp) is the source of this 139-nucleotide long non-coding RNA. RefSeq lists it as uncharacterized. Lineage: Eukaryota; Metazoa; Chordata; Actinopteri; Cypriniformes; Cyprinidae. The transcript has 3 exons. The record is from RefSeq and is a predicted model, not a curated record.